GUUAAGGUGGCAGAGCAGGUAAUUGUAUAAAGCUUAAGCCUUUACCCCCAGAGGUUCAAAUCCUCUUCUUAACA
Molecule: transfer RNA, 74 nt
Filed under: Myrmecobius fasciatus (numbat)
Lineage: Eukaryota; Metazoa; Chordata; Mammalia; Dasyuromorphia; Myrmecobiidae
Description: tRNA-Leu
Rfam family: tRNA
About the family: Transfer RNA (tRNA) molecules are approximately 80 nucleotides in length. Their secondary structure includes four short double-helical elements and three loops (D, anti-codon, and T loops). Further hydrogen bonds mediate the characteristic L-shaped molecular structure. tRNAs have two regions of fundamental functional importance: the anti-codon, which is responsible for specific mRNA codon recognition, and the 3' end, to which the tRNAs corresponding amino acid is attached (by aminoacyl-tRNA synthetases). tRNAs cope with the degeneracy of the genetic code in two manners: having more than one tRNA (with a specific anti-codon) for a particular amino acid; and 'wobble' base-pairing, i.e. permitting non-standard base-pairing at the 3rd anti-codon position.
Source: RNAcentral